ACUAUCUGAAGAAGAAAAAAAUGAAGAUGAAUAUGGUAGCAAUGCGUUUUUUGAUUUUGUUUGUUCUAAUUAUAGUUGCAAGUGCACUAGAUCCAAAAGUAGGUGAUUGUAUUUAUAAGUGUCGUCAAGAAUGUGCCAUGGCACGAUUACUUUGCAAUAUAAUGUGUUUGCAAAAAUGCCAACCACCCCCUCCAUCUUCAUGAUUAAUGUAUGAACUCAAAUUCUAUUUCAUAAUAUGUUUGCAUCACUUAUAUAUAUAUAUAUAUAUAUAUGCUUUUAUUAUUUCUCUAAACAUGUUUCAGAAUUAUUAGUGUCAUGACUCAGUCACCCUCUAAUAUAUAAACUCUGAUAAUUUUUUUGUAUUUGUUUUUGUUGUAGAUUUGGUUCAGGCGAAAAGGAUUUGGG
Molecule: long non-coding RNA, 405 nt
Filed under: Lupinus angustifolius (narrow-leaved blue lupine)
Lineage: Eukaryota; Viridiplantae; Streptophyta; Magnoliopsida; Fabales; Fabaceae
Description: long non-coding RNA (LANG_LNC001520)
Source: RNAcentral